GAAAGUAAGCAAGGGCAGACGGUGGAUGCCUUGGCUCUCGGAGGCGAAGAAGGACGUGAUAAGCUGCGAUAAGCCCGGGGUAGGUGCAAAUAACCCUUGAUCCCGGGAUUUCCGAAUGGGGCAACCCGGCAGGUUGAAGGCCUGCCAUUCCGUAAGGAAGGCGAACGUGGGGAACUGAAACAUCUAAGUACCCAUAGGAGAAGAAAACAAAAGUGAUUCCGCAAGUAGUGGCGAGCGAACGCGGAACAGCCCAAACCGAUGAUGUUUAGGCAUUAUCGGGGUAGUAGGACCACGAUGUGGCAAGAAAUCAGGAAAGUAGAACGUUUUGGAAAAGACGGCCGUAGACGGUGAAAGCCCGGUAUACGACUUUCUGAAGAAGCUUAGUGGUAUCCUGAGUAGCGCGGAGCACGAGGAAUUCUGCGUGAAACAGCGGGGCCCAUCCCGUAAGGCUAAAUACUCCCGAGAGACCGAUAGCGAACCAGUACCGUGAGGGAAAGGUGAAAAGCACCUCGAACAGAGGAGUGAAAUAGUCCCUGAAACCGUCUGCCUACAAGCGGUCGGAGCAACGCAAGUUGUGACGGCGUGCCUUUUGCAUAAUGAACCUACGAGUUACUUUCUCCGGCAAGGUUAAGGGCUUCAGGCCCGUAGCCGAAGCGAAAGCGAGUCUGAAUAGGGCGUAUAGUCGGAGUGAGUAGACGCGAAACCAAGUGAUCUACCCUUGGUCAGGAUGAAGGUUGGGUAACACCAACUGGAGGUCCGAAUGGGUAUACGUUGAAAAGUGUUCCAAUGAACUGAGGGUAGGGGUGAAAGGCUAAUCAAACUUGGAGAUAGCUCGUACUCCCCGAAAUGCAUUUAGGUGCAGCCUAUGGUUAGUAUAGUAUGAGGUAGAGCGACUGAUUGGAUGCGAGGGCUUCACCGCCUAUCAAGUCCAGAUAAACUCCGAAUGUGUGCUAUAUAUUGCCAUGGAGUGAGGGCGCGGGUGCUAAGGUCCGCGUCCGAGAGGAGAAGAAUCCAGACCAUCAGCUAAGGUCCCCAAAUGACAGUUAAGUUGAACUAACGAAGUCGGACUGCAGAGACAGCUAGGAUGUUGGCUUGGAAGCAGCCAUUCAUUUAAAGAGUGCGUAACAGCUCACUAGUCGAGGAGUCCGGCAUGGAUAAUACUCGGGCAUAAACUGUCUACCGAAGCUAUGGAUGUAGUAAUACAUGGUAGGGGAGCAUUCCAACGGCGCCGAAGGUAAAGGAUGACCUUUGCUGGAGCUUUUGGAAAAGCAAAUGUAGGUAUAAGUAACGAUAAAGGAGGUGAGAAACCUCCUCGCCGAAAGACUAAGGUUUCCUGAUCAACGUUAAUCGGAUCAGGGUAAGUCGGGACCUAAGGAUAAGCCGAACGGCGAUUCCGAUGGAAGAAUGGUUUAAUAUUCCCAUACUACUUUAUGGAGCGAUGUGGAGACGGAGAAGUGACAGUCCUGCCGACUGACGGAAUAGUCGGUUGAAGGGUGUAGACGUAGAUUCCUGUAGGCAAAUCCGCAGGGAGAGUCGAACCUAACAGUAUGCUGAGUGCUUGCACAAGGCAAUAUGGAUGUAAUCAGGCUCCCUAGAAAAUCCGCUAAGCAUAUUCAUAAAGUACCCGUACCGUAAACGGACACACGUAGUUGGGUUGAAAAUACUGAGGCGCUCGAGUGAUUCACGGUUAAGGAACUAGGCAAAUUGACCCUGUAACUUCGGGAUAAAGGGUCCCUACUGAGAGGUAGGGCGCAGAGAAUAGGUCCAGGCAACUGUUUAACAAAAACACAUGGCUGUGCGAAAUAGAAAUAUGAGGUAUACAGCCUGACACCUGCCCGGUGCUGGAAGGUUAAGAGGAGAGCUUAUCGCAAGAGAAGGUUUGAAUUGAAGCCCCAGUAAACGGCGGCCGUAACUAUAACGGUCCUAAGGUAGCGAAAUUCCUUGUCGGGUAAGUUCCGACCUGCACGAAUGGUGUAAUGAUCUGGACACUGUCUCAACCGUGAGCU
This 2006-nucleotide ribosomal RNA is filed under the name metagenome. Its description in RNAcentral is "bacterial LSU rRNA". It matches the Rfam family "Bacterial large subunit ribosomal RNA", at positions 1 to 2033 of the family's 2925-position model. The record is from RNAcentral.